RNAcentral lists this ribosomal RNA (499 nucleotides) under uncultured bacterium. RNAcentral's name for it is "partial 16S ribosomal RNA". It matches the Rfam family "Bacterial small subunit ribosomal RNA", at positions 28 to 507 of the family's 1533-position model. The record is from RNAcentral.
GAUGAACGCUGGCGGCGUGCCUAAUACAUGCAAGUCGAGCGAACAGACGAGAGUGCUUGCACUCUCUGACGUUAGCGGCGGACGGGUGAGUAACACGUGGGUAACCUACCUAUAAGACUGGGAUAACUUCGGGAAACCGGAGCUAAUACCGGAUAAUAUUUAGCUUCGCAUGAAGCAAUAGUGAAAGACGGUUCUGCUGUCACUUAUAGAUGGACCCGCGGUGUAUUAGCUAGUUGGUGAGGUAACGGCUCACCAAGGCAACGAUACAUAGCCGACCUGAGAGGGUGAUCGGCCACACUGGGACUGAGACACGGACCAGACUCCUACGGGAGGCAGCAGUAGGGAAUCUUCCGCAAUGGACGAAAGUCUGACGGAGCAAUGCCGCGUGAGUGAAGAAGGUUUUCGGAUCGUAAAACUCUGUUGUAAGGGAAGAACGAGUACGUUAGUAACUGAACGUACCUUGACGGUACCUUACCAGAAAGCCACGGCUAACUACGUG